Molecule: ribosomal RNA, 226 nt
Filed under: Conus queenslandis
Lineage: Eukaryota; Metazoa; Mollusca; Gastropoda; Neogastropoda; Conidae
Description: partial 12S ribosomal RNA
Source: RNAcentral
AACCUGUCUCAUAAUCGACAAUCCGCGCUAAACCCGACCCUCUGUAGCAAUUCAGCCUGUAUACCGUUGUCGUCAGGUAACUUCUUAAAAUAUAGUAGUUAGCUCGAGAAUCUUAUUAAUUAGUACGUCAAAUCAAGGUGCAGCUAAUAAGAGGGAGAGGAUGGGUUACAAUUAUAUAUUUAUAAUUACGAAAAACACCUUGAAUAAAAUGCUGGAAGGAGGACUU